This 459-nucleotide ribosomal RNA is filed under the name uncultured bacterium. RNAcentral's name for it is "partial 16S ribosomal RNA". It matches the Rfam family "Bacterial small subunit ribosomal RNA", at positions 338 to 795 of the family's 1533-position model. The record is from RNAcentral.
CCUACGGGUGGCAGCAGUGAGGAAUAUUGGUCAAUGGCCGGGAGGCUGAACCAGCCAAGUCGCGUGAGGGAAGACGGCCCUACGGGUUGUAAACCUCUUUUGUCAGGGAGCAAGGUGCAGGUCGGGACCUGCUGUGAGAGUACCUGAAGAAAAAGCAUCGGCUAACUCCGUGCCAGCAGCCGCGGUAAUACGGAGGAUGCGAGCGUUAUCCGGCUUUAUUGGGUUUAAAGGGUGCGCAGGCGGAGGCACAAGUCAGCGGUAAAAGCGCGGGGCGCAACCCCGCUCCGCCGUUGAAACUGUGUCCCUUGAGUGCGCGAAGGGUAGGCGGAAUGCGUGGUGUAGCGGUGAAAUGCUUAGAGAUCAUACAGAACACCGAUUGCGAAGGCAGCUUACCAAUCUAUAUCUGACGUUGAGGCACGAAAGCGUGGGGAGCAAACAGGAUUAGAUACCCGUGUAGUC